Molecule: long non-coding RNA, 410 nt
Organism: Pan paniscus (pygmy chimpanzee)
Lineage: Eukaryota; Metazoa; Chordata; Mammalia; Primates; Hominidae
Source: Ensembl
GGAUUAUGACAAUUUUUGUCAACCUAUUUUGUAAAGUCUAAGACAUGUUUCUAUCUUCUUUGCUAUUAUGAAUUUCACAAUGAUGUAGCCAUUUUCCCCUAAGGACCCAGUACUAUACAGACAGUCUAGCCAAUGUGACAAAGAGGCGGAAGUAAAAACUUCCCAUCUUCAGGCAUGAAAAAAUUUUACUGGACAGAGUGACCCUUUUCAGCCCUUAACCUACUUAACAAAUCAUAAAGAUGCUUGGAGUAUUAUAUUUGACUAUCAAUUAUUCUACCAGUAUAUUUCAUGUAAGAAAUCUAAAGGAAUCUGAUCUUGAGCUGGCCUAGAGAGUCAGCCAUGCAGAACAAGAGAAAAGAGAGAGGGUAAGACCUCUUCCAUUGAAGAAACUUAGCCUUGGUCUUCCAGCU